Cinara cedri is the source of this 1109-nucleotide non-coding RNA. NCBI's taxonomy places the organism in Eukaryota, Metazoa, Arthropoda, Insecta, Hemiptera, Aphididae. The record is from the annotation of a GenBank genome assembly.
UAUCAUAAUAUUAUUUACCCUUCACAGCAUUUGCCUGUUUUUUUAGAUUCUGAGUGGUACGAAGAAUGUAUUGGUUUUACAAAGAUAUUUAUUUUUUAUUUUUUUUUUUAAUACUUUUUCUACCAGAAAACUUACUCCGAUGUAUAUGAUAUGCAACUUUUCUGAAAGGAGAUUUUCUUGGGGUGGUACUUUAGGGAAAUAAUUUUUUGAUUUUCCCGGCAGUUUUUCUAAUAAAAGGGAAAAGUAAAAAACUGAGGAAAACGGGAAAAUAUAUGAAAUAUAUUAACCGGGAAAAACGUAGGAAAAAUGGGAAAAUUAGCACAAUAUUAAAAUUAUUAAAGAAAAUAUAUAAUGCCUAUGUAAUUAUUUUACUAUAAUAUGAUUUAUAUAUUAUUGACAAAACAUCACUAUCAACUGAACUGCGCUCAGAAUUAUUUUUCAUUAGCAAUGAUUUAUCGUUGCUUACAGAUAUACAUUAAAUUCCCGUCUGUAUCCUACAUUCCUACCUUCCCGCCUACAACAGUGGCUGUAUCCAUAUGCGAAAUAUGUUAGUUUUUUUUUAAAGUUUUAAAUCUUUUUUCUUUUAUCUAAAUACUAAAUUAUAUACCACAAAUCCCUAUAAUUAGUAUAACUACUUCAGUAGUUGUGAAAUUAAUCAUAUUGAUGAAAACAUAUUGAUGUUGCUGUCGCCACUGCUGCCCGACGUCCCGGUCACCACCGAGUCCCACACCAAAAAUAUAUAGUUAGUUACGAUUCGACAGUGGGAUUGAUCCAACGUCGUAAGCCCAAACGGUCCGCGCCGAGUGGGUCUCAAAAAGAAAAAACACACUCUUCCUUUUGGCAUGAUGUUCGGCGCCAACAUGAUGGGCUAGGCGUACCGACUGUGGUCUGCGGUGGAUCGCGAACAGAGGAGCCGUGUGACAACAACAACCACAACAACAACAACAGUAAUAUCAAGUCAGAAUCACCAGGAAUCCCUUAAAAUUUAACGAAUUAAUAAUAUUUUUUUUUUAUCUCUCAGCACUUUUCCUAAUUUUGUUUUCCCCCUUUAGUCCAUUUCUAGACCGUUCUAACAUUUAUGUUAAAAAAAAUAAUAAUAAAUCUAAAAC